AUUGAACGCUGGCGGCAUGCUUUACACAUGCAAGUCGAACGGUAACAGGUUAAGCUGACGAGUGGCGAACGGGUGAGUAAUGCAUCGGAACGUGCCCGGUCGUGGGGGAUAACGCAGCGAAAGUUGCGCUAAUACCGCAUACGAUCUGAGGAUGAAAGCGGGGGACCGUAAGGCCUCGCGCGAUCGGAGCGGCCGAUGUCAGAUUAGGUAGUUGGUGGGGUAAAGGCUCACCAAGCCAACGAUCUGUAGCUGGUCUGAGAGGACGACCAGCCACACUGGGACUGAGACACGGCCCAGACUCCGACGGGAGGCAGCAGUGGGGAAUCUUGGACAAUGGGCGAAAGCCUGAUCCAGCAAUGCCGCGUGCAGGAAGAAGGCCUUCGGGUUGUAAACUGCUUUUGUACGGAGCGAAAAGGUCUCCUCUAAUACAGGGGGCUCAUGACGGUACUGUAAGAAUAAGCACCGGCUAACUACGUGCCAGCCGCCGCGGUAA
Molecule: ribosomal RNA, 493 nt
Filed under: uncultured bacterium
Lineage: Bacteria
Description: partial 16S ribosomal RNA
Rfam family: Bacterial small subunit ribosomal RNA
Source: RNAcentral